UCACAGAACUAUAGCAAAAUGAUCUUUAAAAAUAGGAGUUCUCAGCACAGAGCAGAUCAACGUCCUCCUCCUCCACCUUCUCAUGGUUCCCGCGGAUCAAGAAAGCCAGAGAAAGGAGACACGCAAGGAGCAAUCAAUCUCUGCUCCGUGCUGCUUCCUUCGUCCACCGGCAACCCAUGCACGGUCCGGCACGGCAGCGUCCGCCUCCUCCUCGAUCUCGCCGAUAUGAUGAGACCACCACCACCACGACGGCGACCAUGCACGCACGUGGAAGAACCAGGUGAUCCCGGGAGGCGGCAGCAACAACGAGUUCGGCAGCGAUACUGCCGGUGUGACGCCAUCAUGGCCUCCGUGGAACAGAGCGGACAACCCAACCUGCACAACCCGCCGCUGCGGCUCGAGCGCAUGGGUUGUGGAUGGCUCGACGUGAUCUUUGAGUGGGAGGGGGUGGUCGGGGAGGAUGACACCCGGCUUGAGAGGCAUGCCUGCUGACCCUCGCGGAGGAGGAGGCCAAGUCGUUGUCGGCGGCGUUCGGCCGAUGAAGGCCGACCACGACCUCUUCGAGGUGCUCUGCUGGUCUCGGAGAACCGGCUCCUGGCUUUGCGCGAGGAGACCCACGCAGCGACACGCCCAAGGUUGGUUUUCUACGUGGUGGUCUACCCGGUCAACGAUGCUCUCAAGGUUCUUUUUCUCUUCUUUUAGUACUCAUUGUUUGGACGGUGUUGCAAAUAGAAUGGCUGAAAACCUGAAUUGUAGUAUACUGGGAUACUUACAUUUGUAUAUGGAAAGUGUUGCAGCUGUUGGCCUUGGUGGCGAUUUUGGUGGUCGUGCUGUUCUGUGUGGGAGUGUCCUGAUUUUGGUGUUUGUGUUGGUCGGGGGUGUCACAACCUGCUCGAGCAUAUCUUCAGUGAUCGUCACAGUUAUCUUCACUGGUUUGUUGAUUGGUUCAGCGGUUUUCUAUUAGUUGAGUUGUGGUGGCGUGAUCUAUAGGAAAACAUACUCAUCAUCAUAUGCAGCUGUCCUUCUACCAGGGAUGAAUUUUCUGAGUCAUGCUUAAUAUGCUGUCUAAUAUUUACUCUCUUUGUACCAUCUUCAAGAAAGUCAUAUGGGCCAGAUAAAAAAAUCCUAUUCACCUAGAUUUAAAUUUGAUUGAAGUUAUUUCUCACCAAAGGCAUAAGGGUUUUCUACCUAGCCUUCUCACCCUUCCUAAGUAUCCAGGUAUAAUUGUGUUCGUUGGUUGGCAACGUGCUAUCCACAAUAUGAUAAUGGUUCUAGAAGCAUUUCUUGCUCCAGGAUCUGAAUUGUGGAUGUUCAAUGAGGUGGCAGAGAAGAAGAGGGAGAAAAACUGACUGACGAUUGUAUGGAUAUUUUGGACUAACAAACAUUAAAUUGUACACAAAGAAGGGAAUGCUGUCAUCAGGCGGCACUUCUUGAGACCUUUGAUUCUGUGAGUAUAUGCUCCAUCGUAGAGAGAAGUAGAGUACUCUGAACUUUUCUGUUCAAACAAUUAUUAUUUUUAUGAAUCGUCCGAUGUGGUCCAAAAUAGCAAGUCAGCAUAGCCCUGCAUUUCUUCUACUCUAAGUUUACCUGUGCUGAAAUUCACCCAAUGCUAACUUUAAAACCACAGAUUUUGAUUUUUGCAGAUGAGUCGGUGGAGGAUUCCAUUUGAACAAUUAGAUUCAUGGUGCUUAGCUACACUUCUUCUAAUUCAUGACGUACAGGUGAGCAACAAGUCACGAGCCCCCGCAUCGCCCUCCCCCUAGGGCGACUCGGGCGGAGCCAAGAAACCUAGCCGCCGCCGCCGUGAACUCCCUCCUCCUCUCCCUCCGCCGCCGCCGGGCUAAGCCCGGGGGCCGACGGCGGUGGCGGGGGAUCUCCUCUCUCACGCGUCUUCGGGUUGGGGCGGGACCCCUAGGCGUGUGGCGGCGCGGCCGAUCUGGGUUUUGCGGCGCGGCGGAUGGCUGCGGAAGGUGGCGGGCGGCCGCGGCUAGGUGCGGUGGGCGGCCCAGCCACGGACGGCGGCGUGGGCUGUGGGCGCAGCGGCCGGCCUGUUCGGGCAUUGGCGGCCAGCUAGGCUGUGGUGUCAUGCAUACCACCUUCAGAUCGGCGGCGGCGGCGUGGAGGGCCUGGUGGUCUUGUCGGUGGCACCUCCGGUCAGAUCUGUUCUGACCGAUGCGACCGGCGGUGGUGGUCAUCUCUUCCGUCAGAGGUGGUCGGCCUGAGGCUGGGUGUUCGGAUCUCCGGAUACAUGAUCCAGUACUGGCUACAAGUCGGGAAGACAUAGUUGCCGAUGAAAACCGAGCCGACGGCGGACGAUGGCGGCGUUCUACGUCGUUACCUUGAUGAAGGCAUCGUUGUGUGACUUAUGUCGACCCACUCGUACUGCUCUGGGGGAAACUUUAGGAUCUGGUCUUUCAGAUCGGACGAUGGCGGCACUACAGUGGCGUUUUUCUCUUGGGAGCAUCGUUUGUGGAGUAGUGCUGGUGGUCAGAGACGGGAGGUGGAGCAGCUUCGUCUUGCACGGAGCUUCGGUGGAGAUGUCAAGUCAUGGUUGGUCGACAGGUGCUAAGCUUUGUUAUGCCUGGUCGGCAGGUGCUACGCACGACAGAUCUUUCAGAGACUUCAAGCUGUGUCGGUUGAUGGUGCUUGGCGGCAUGGUGCUGAGGUGUAUCGGCGGCGACCGCGACGUGCUCAGCAUUUCGCGCGUAGGGUGGUGAUGCCGUUGGGCGCCGUGGUAGCGCUGACGGCAGUUAGAUCGGGCAAGGAUGAUGCGUCAGUACAUCUCUGAAGAUGGAGUUGUGGCAGUUGGUGGCGACGGCCUCUGAGAGCGCGCCGGACCGGCGUGUGCCCCAUACCCGGCGUGUGGCUUGGUUGGGGCCUCAGGUCUUAGAUGUUAGGCUUGGCUGCGAGGUCUGUGGUAUUAGGCCCGGACUAUCAGCAUCCCUUCGUCAGCUGGAUAGGAGUAGCGACAGUUGUCGCCUAGACGGUGUGGCUUCCGACUUACUGUUGUAUUUCUUUAUAAGGUCUUUUGUAAAUAAUUAAUAAAAUGCUGCAUACAUAUCGCUCAGAUGCAGAGGCCGGGGGUGAUCCUCCUUCUUUAAAAGAACAAAAAAGUGAGCAACAAGCAGCCUGGCUUCCGCCUUGCCAACACUUGCGAGUCAACCAUUAAUCCAGAACUGAAGUCAGAGAUUAAGUAGUCUUUAGACGAUGUGUUUGUUGCGAUCGUGAAAAGGUGACUAAUUUUACAGUGUCAUCUCACUUUUUUGAAGUGCAAGUGUAUAUUAUGAUAGCAAAACUA
Molecule: long non-coding RNA, 3298 nt
Organism: Aegilops tauschii subsp. strangulata
Lineage: Eukaryota; Viridiplantae; Streptophyta; Magnoliopsida; Poales; Poaceae
Source: RefSeq, a predicted model, not a curated record